CCCUUAGAUGUUCUGGGCCGCACGCGUGCUACACUGAGUAAUUCAAUGGGUAAGGGAACGCUAGAGCAUUACCUAAUCUUGAAAUUUGCUCGUGAUGUGGAUCGACGGUUGCAAUUUUCCGUCGUGAACGAGGAAUACCUUGUAGGCGCAUGUCAUCAUCAUGCGCCGAAUACGUCCCUGCCCUUUGUACACACCGCCCGUCGCUCCUACCGAUUGAGUGAUCCGGUGAGGCUCUGGGACCUGGACGGAAAGAGCGUUUCGCUUGUUCUGUUUGGGAAACUUGGUCGAACCUUAUCAUUUAGAGGAAGGAGAAGUCGUAACA
RNAcentral lists this ribosomal RNA (322 nucleotides) under uncultured eukaryote. RNAcentral's name for it is "partial 18S ribosomal RNA". It matches the Rfam family "Eukaryotic small subunit ribosomal RNA", at positions 1470 to 1796 of the family's 1831-position model. The record is from RNAcentral.